Molecule: long non-coding RNA, 618 nt
Filed under: Helianthus annuus (common sunflower)
Lineage: Eukaryota; Viridiplantae; Streptophyta; Magnoliopsida; Asterales; Asteraceae
Description: hypothetical non coding rna
Source: RNAcentral
GGGAAAAGGUAACCCGAUAACCGACCCAUAGAAAGUUCGGGUUGGUCGGGUUCAGGUUUUUCAAGUAAUAUUUAAUUCGGGUUCGGGUGGCUGUGAAUUCGAGUCGGGUUUUGGGUUUCGGAUAAAAAUGGACAGCCCUAUUGCCACCUGUAGCAGGCACCAAUCGAAGAUGGUGCCUUUGGAUAUAGUGCAUGUUGUAUUUCUAUAAAAAAUUCAAAAGUGAGUGAAAAUUUAAAUGUACUCACCUCAGCUGACAGAAUGAAAUUUAGACCCAUAUUCAACCUUUCUUCAAGAAAUGCAGACGUACAACCAUUUGAGUCGAUCUUCCCUCUAAGGCGACACUGUCAACAUGAAAUCACGUUAAUAAUAUGACAAAAAGCUUGAGCAAUAUUUACUAACAAGUCCAACUAAAAACAUACAAUACCACAGUCAAAUUUAUUAUAUUUAAUUGGAUUUAUAAAAAGUUAAUUAUUUUGUAGUUUAAAAAUGAAACUAGAUAGCAAGGGGCACGAUAUUUAUUGACCGUGACUGUUGAUGAAGAAUUUGUUGAAUUACCUGACGGACAUAACCAAGACCAGACUUCCUAUGCUGACCAGCCCAAAACACUUCGCCACCUAA